RNAcentral lists this ribosomal RNA (332 nucleotides) under uncultured bacterium. Its description in RNAcentral is "SSU rRNA". It matches the Rfam family "Bacterial small subunit ribosomal RNA", at positions 26 to 377 of the family's 1533-position model. The record is from RNAcentral.
AGGAUGAACGCUGGCGGCGUGCCUAAUACAUGCAAGUCGAGCGGUAAGGCCACUUCGGUGGUACACGAGCGGCGGACGGCUGAGUAACACGUAGGAACGUACCCCAAAGUGAGGCAUAAGCACCAGAAAUGGUGUCUAAUACCGCAUGUGAUCUUCGGAUUAAAGCUUCGGCGCUUUGGGAACGGCCUGCGCAUGAUUAGCUUGUUGGUGAGGUAAUAGCUCACCAAGGCGACGAUCAUUAGCUGGUCUGAGAGGAUGACCAGCCAGACUGGGACUGAGAACGGCCCAGACUCCUACGGGAGGCAGCAGUAGGGAAUUUUCCACAAUGGGCG